GAGCUGUGACGAUUAUUGGCGCCUUUAGAGAUGGGGGGAUCUAUCUCACUUGUCUGAUUAAACGACGAAAUAUGGUGCUUCUGAGCUC
This is a small nucleolar RNA of Cannabis sativa, 88 nucleotides long. RefSeq annotates it as small nucleolar RNA snoR114. Lineage: Eukaryota; Viridiplantae; Streptophyta; Magnoliopsida; Rosales; Cannabaceae. The transcript has a single exon. The record is from RefSeq and is a predicted model, not a curated record.